AUAGCCCCAGUUUCUGAAAUCCAGAUUAUCUGAUUUCAAUUGGAAUUAUAUGGCAGUGUAGACUAGACUCAUAUAAUCCAGUUCCAAACAGAUAAUCUUGAUUCAGAACCGAAUUGUAUGGCAGUGCAGAUCCAGCCUGAAUCUACACUCAAUUUUUCAUCUGCAUUCUGAAAUUGGAUCCUAUAACUACCCUAGAUUUCCCCUUGAGGCUGCAUCUACAUUGUCAAUAUCAUGCAAUUUCACACCACUUUAACAGCCAUGGCUCCAUGCUAUGGAAUUUUGGGAGUUGUAGUUUGGUGAGGCAUCAGCACUCUUUAAGAGAAGGCAGAAGACUGUGUAAAACUACAGCUCCCAUGAGUCUAUAGUAUAGAGGCACGGCAGUUAAAGUGGUGUCAAACUGCACUAGUUCCACAGUGCAGAUGCACCCUGUCUAAAACCAGCUCUGACUCUUAUCUAGUCCAAAACCAUGUUCUCCUGGAUCACGAUCCCCAAGUGACACAUAUUCAAGGGGAAACGUCAGUGGUAUGAUGUUAUGAAAAACAUCACACACACACAUAUUAAGUGUCUCUUGUUGACAGUUACUCCAGCCUCCAUCUCUUCUGGGCUUCUAUUAUGACAUCAGUCCAGGAGCCUCAGGUUCACAUCUUUGGCCAACUGCCACAUGGAGAUCGCUGAGAUGUGGGCCUGCACAUCACCACUGAAAGCGGGAAAUAGAUUAUAUGGGGACAUCCCCACCUUGAUCCUAAUUUCAUGGGUUUUUUUAGGGCUCUGGAUCACUGAGGUCAAAGCUGGACCCAUUGGUGGAGGGGCAGAAGGUAAGAAAGCAACCUUUUUGCCCUAGAGAUGGGUCUGUCAGUGUCAAGCUCUUCUUAAUUAUUUAUAGUGCUUAAGGUUGCCACGAAGGACUAACUAUUUAUGGCACUUAGGGGCUGCCAUAAAGGACACCAGAUCCUGCCUGAUCUUGGAAGCCAAGCAAGACCAGAUCUGGUUAGUACAUGGAUGGGAGACCACGCAAAAUACCAGUGCCUGACAUGUGCCCUAUUAUCUACCGCCAUAUCCCCCGCGACUCCAGAGACCUCAUCCCUGUACCCCGUUCAGAGGGUUUCUCCAUCCUGUGCAGAGUGAAUACCUCUACAUCCCUCUGUGAAUGGAUCCUGAUCGCCACCAGAGAUCGCUCCUACUAUUUCAACAGGGACAUGAAAAACCACAUUGUCUUGCACCCCCUGGGCCUCAUCGUCACUCACAUGAACAAGGAGCUGGAAGGGGAGUACCAGAUCCUCUCGGGCCUCAACAGGACCUGUAUGGGCCGGGUCUUGAUGACAGCUGUGGGUGAGUUUCUUGGGAAAUCAUAUGGUUGUCAGAAACCAUCCAGUCCAACUCCAUUCUGCCAUGUCGAACACACAGUGAAAGCACUCCCGACAGAUGGCCAUCCAGCCUCUGCUUUGAAACCUCGGGAGAACAAGACUCCACCACCCUCUGAGGAAAUUGUGGUCAGAAAUUUCUUCCUAAUGUUUAAGUGGAAUCUCUUGGACAACCAGUUAAACAUGAGCCUACAGUGUGAUGUGGCAGCUAAAAAAGCCAAUGGGAGUUUGUCCUGCAUAAAUAGGAGUAUAGUGUCUAGAUCCAGGGAAGUCAUGCUGCCUUGGUCAGACCACAUCUGGAAUCACACUGUGUUCAAUUCUGGGCACCGCAAUUGA
This is a long non-coding RNA of Anolis carolinensis (green anole), 1697 nucleotides long. The record is from Ensembl. NCBI's taxonomy places the organism in Eukaryota, Metazoa, Chordata, Lepidosauria, Squamata, Anolidae.